GCCAGCUGAGACAGGCGGUGGCUGUUAGAGUGGGCAUCAGCUGCGCUACCCUGUCUGGGGAUGGGAGUACUACUGACCCGACAGGAUCCAGUCCAGUCCCACAUCUUACAGAACAGAGGGGCAGAGAACUGCUGAAGACUGAGUGUUGGGUUCACACUCUGCCCCUCGCUCCUCUCCUCUGUUCACCCACGUUCGGGAUGGGUAAAACCUGACCCGUUGGGCUGGCUGCACCCCAGUUAUCAUGUCGGGACGCAACCAUCCAGAGGCUCCGGCGAGAUGUGCUGCUCUCCCACCAGGCCCGCGACUCCCAGUCUGCUCAGCUGGAUGUCCAUGGGCAGAGGAUCUCUCAGCUGCAGACGGAGCUACAGGAGAGCUAAC
Long non-coding RNA from Oncorhynchus tshawytscha (Chinook salmon), 378 nucleotides. RefSeq lists it as uncharacterized. The record is from RefSeq and is a predicted model, not a curated record. The transcript is spliced from 4 exons. NCBI's taxonomy places the organism in Eukaryota, Metazoa, Chordata, Actinopteri, Salmoniformes, Salmonidae.